RNAcentral lists this ribosomal RNA (486 nucleotides) under uncultured bacterium. RNAcentral describes it as "partial 16S ribosomal RNA". It matches the Rfam family "Bacterial small subunit ribosomal RNA", at positions 28 to 507 of the family's 1533-position model. The record is from RNAcentral.
GAUGAACGCUGGCGGCGUGCCUAAUACAUGCAGGUCGAACGCUGGAAAUCUAGCUUGCUAGAUUGAAGGAGUGGCGAACGGGUGAGUAAUACAUAAGCAACCUACCCACGAAGACGGGGAUAAUCUCUGGAAACGGGGACUAAUACCGGAUAGGUAAUCGGAAGGCAUCUUCUGAUUAUUAAAGGUUAAAAACACUGGUGGAUGGGCUUAUGGCGCAUUAGUUAGUUGGUGAGGUAACGGCCCACCAAGACGAUGAUGCGUAGCCGGCCUGAGAGGGUGAACGGCCACAUUGGGACUGAGACACGGCCCAGACUCCUACGGGAGGCAGCAGUAGGGAAUUUUCGGCAAUGGGGGAAACCCUGACCGAGCAACGCCGCGUGAGUGAUGACGGCCUUCGGGUUGUAAAGCUCUGUUGUAAGGGAAGAACGGUAGAUAGAGAAUAUCUAAAUGACGGUACCUUACCAGAAAGCCACGGCUAACUACGUG